GUGUUUCCAACUUCUGUCACAGGCCACUACUGCCGGGGUUUGUAUAUAUAUUUAUACAUAUAUAUGUAUAAAAUAAAUCGAGUGAAAUGGGGUAACACAAAAAAAAAAAAAUCAAAAGUACAAGAAAAUUUCUGAAAAAAGCAAAAAAAGAGUAAACCUUAUAUAACUUUAUCGAACCGCAUUAGGAAAACAUUAAUAAAAUCUACCGAGUGAAAAAAAAAAAACUACAAAAAACGAGCGGUGUUUACGCUUUUGUGAACUAUCGACAUUUCUUGUCACGAAGUUUCCGCCGCGGACGCGCAGUAACGGACGGCCGCGAAAUCGUAUUUCGUUUCCAUUAUUUUUUCACGCACCGCCCCGCGACAAACGCUCAGGUAUGUCGCGCGCGCCGGUCCGGGGAAGACAAUGGACACUGAUCGCUGUCGGCAACUAAGUGCGUACGGAAUUGGCCUUUGAACUUAUUUUUUCGUGACUCGAAAAAUACAUACAUGUGUCCGUGCGAGUUAUAUUCAGACUGUCGUCGUGAUACCAGAGACGAAUCGCGUAAAAGUCACAACGCCCCGUAAAGUCGAUUUAUUAUUAUUUUUUUCGUUUUUUUUUCCCUCCGAGACGUACGCGGAUAUAUUUUUAUAGUCGCGGCGUCGUCGGCUCGCGAACCGGAUUAACACGUUAAAACGGGAGAGGAGGGAAAGGUAGUCGGACAAUCGUAUUUUCGUUUACAUUCUUGCGGGUUUGCGGGGAUAUAGGGACGGCGUUCCGGACGCGACGACGUUUCUCGAGAGCCGUAAAUUCACCCGUCUCCUCCGGGAACGCUCUCUUAGUAAACCGAAUUUAUUUUCGUUACAUUAUGAACGCCGACCCGUAUGAGUGGCCGUAUAAUAUUGUAUAGGUCGGGUACGCCGGAGCCCAAACUAUACUUCGAGUACAGCAGUUGCUACACAUCGCAUUUCGAACGGACGGGUAAAACGGGUAUGAACAUUCGAGGUACUAGGCUGUAGGUCGGAAAUUAUAUAUUUAUACGGGUAAAAGUUCUUGGGGUGGGUGGUGGUUUGGUGAAUUUGGAAUUCUGCUACACCGCAAAAAUGCAGUUUGGGCGCCACUGGUCUGGCGUACGGGGAUAACGACGGACGAAGCUGAUCGGUGGCGUUCGGGGGGAUGUUUUUUUCUUCAAAUGGGGAUACAAGAAUAAUUAUUG
Molecule: non-coding RNA, 1195 nt
Organism: Cinara cedri
Lineage: Eukaryota; Metazoa; Arthropoda; Insecta; Hemiptera; Aphididae
Source: the annotation of a GenBank genome assembly